GUACUUACCUUGACGGGGUCUACGGGCAUACAAGAAGAUCCGUGGCCUAGGCUAGUGACUUCCAUUGCACUUUGGCUCUAGUUCGAUUUCUUUAGCUCUCUGUUUAUUCUGAUUUGACUGUUAUAACAUCUGAGACCAAUAAGCUGUAUGGAUUGGUUAUUC
Molecule: non-coding RNA, 162 nt
Organism: Arabidopsis suecica
Lineage: Eukaryota; Viridiplantae; Streptophyta; Magnoliopsida; Brassicales; Brassicaceae
Source: the annotation of a GenBank genome assembly